AUUGAACGCUGGCGGCAGGCCUAACACAUGCAAGUCGAACGGUAACAGGAAGCAGCUUGCUGCUUCGCUGACGAGUGGCGGACGGGUGAGUAAUGUCUGGGAAACUGCCUGAUGGAGGGGGAUAACUACUGGAAACGGUAGCUAAUACCGCAUAACGUCGCAAGCCCAAAGAGGGGGACCUUAGGGCCUCUUGCCAUCGGAUGUGCCCAGAUGGGAUUAGCUAGUAGGUGGGGUAACGGCUCACCUAGGCGACGAUCCCUAGCUGGUCUGAGAGGAUGACCAGCCACACUGGAGCGGAGACACGGUCCAGACUCCUACGGGAGGCAGCAGUGGGGAAUAGUGCACAAUGGGCGCAAGCCUGAUGCAGCCAUGCCGCGUGUAUGAAGAAGGCCUUCGGGUUGUAAAGUACCUUCAGCGGGGAGGAAGGGAGUAAAGUUAAUACCUUGGCUCAUUGACGUUACCCGCAGAAGAAGCACCGGCUAACUCCGUG
This 490-nucleotide ribosomal RNA is filed under the name uncultured bacterium. RNAcentral describes it as "partial 16S ribosomal RNA". It matches the Rfam family "Bacterial small subunit ribosomal RNA", at positions 30 to 507 of the family's 1533-position model. The record is from RNAcentral.